This 217-nucleotide long non-coding RNA is filed under the name Homo sapiens (human). RNAcentral's name for it is "long non-coding RNA NONHSAT116583.2". Lineage: Eukaryota; Metazoa; Chordata; Mammalia; Primates; Hominidae. The record is from RNAcentral.
UGGAGUCUCACUCUGUCACCCAGGCUGCAGUGCAGUGGCACGAUCUCAGCUCACUGCAAGCUCCGCCUCCCGGGUUCACGCCAUUCUCCUGCCUCAGCCUCCCGACUAGCUGGGACUACAGGCACCCACCACCACACCCAGCUAAUUUUUUCUAUUUUUAGUAGAGACGGGGUUUCACCGUGUUAGCCAGGAUGGUCUCAAUCUCCUGACGUCGUGA